AUCUGCUUUGAAGCGCAUGGACUUCGCGAGGAGCGAAGUUGACGAGGAGGGAGGUUCCCGGCGCGAGCCGGAGCUAACGGGUCUGAACGACCCGGAACAUCGAGAGAUCAGCGGAAGCCUCCCCGGUGCAGGGCACCACCGAUAACAGACAAACCAAUACCUGCCGGUGACGGUGAGGGCAACGUUGUCUGUAGUGACCCA
Molecule: non-coding RNA, 201 nt
Filed under: Chloroflexus aurantiacus
Lineage: Bacteria; Bacillati; Chloroflexota; Chloroflexia; Chloroflexales; Chloroflexaceae
Also listed under: 1 other name
Description: GlcN6P sequence
Rfam family: glmS glucosamine-6-phosphate activated ribozyme aptamer
About the family: This entry contains a glucosamine-6-phosphate activated ribozyme that is found in the mRNA for GlmS. GlmS is an enzyme that uses fructose-6-phosphate and glutamine to generate glucosamine-6-phosphate. The ribozyme catalyses self cleavage of the glmS mRNA that is thought to regulate GlmS activity.
Source: RNAcentral